RNAcentral lists this ribosomal RNA (397 nucleotides) under uncultured bacterium. RNAcentral's name for it is "partial 16S ribosomal RNA". It matches the Rfam family "Bacterial small subunit ribosomal RNA", at positions 523 to 918 of the family's 1533-position model. The record is from RNAcentral.
AUACGUAGGGGGCGAGCGUUGUCCGGAAUGAUUGGGCGUAAAGGGCGCGUAGGCGGCCUGUUAAGUCUGGAGUGAAAGUCCUGUUUUCAAGAUGGGAAUUGCUUUGGAUACUGGGGGGCUUGAGUGCAGGAGAGGUUAUCGGAAUUCCCGGUGUAGCGGUGAAAUGCGUAGAGAUCGGGAGGAACACCAGUGGCGAAGGCGGGUAACUGGACUGCAACUGACGCUGAGGCGCGAAAGUGUGGGGAGCAAACAGGAUUAGAUACCCUGGUAGUCCACACUGUAAACGAUGAAUGCUAGGUGUAAGAGGUAUCGACCCCUUUUGUGCCGGAGUCAACACAAUAAGCAUUCCGCCUGGGGAGUACGGCCGCAAGGUUGAAACUCAAAGGAAUUGACGGGG